This 858-nucleotide ribosomal RNA is filed under the name uncultured bacterium. RNAcentral describes it as "SSU rRNA". It matches the Rfam family "Bacterial small subunit ribosomal RNA", at positions 524 to 1381 of the family's 1533-position model. The record is from RNAcentral.
UACGUAGGGGGCGAGCGUUGUCCGGAUUUAUUGGGCGUAAAGAGCUCGUAGGCGGUUCAACAAGUCGGUCGUGAAAGUUCAGGGCUCAACCCUGAAAUGUCGAUCGAUACUGUUGUGACUAGGAUACGGUAGAGGUGAGUGGAAUUCCGAGUGUAGCGGUGAAAUGCGUAGAUAUUCGGAGGAACACCAAUUGCGAAGGCAGCUCACUGGGCCGCUAUCGACGCUGAGGAGCGAAAGCUAGGGGAGCAAACAGGAUUAGAUACCCUGGUAGUCCUAGCUGUAAACGAUGGAUACUAGACGUAGGAACUGGAUUGACGGUUUCUGUGUCGUAGCUAACGCGUUGAGUAUCCCGCCUGGGGAGUACGGUCGCAAGACUAAAACUCAAAGGAAUUGACGGGACCCCGCACAAGCGGCGGAGCAUGCGGCUUAAUUCGAUGAUACCCGUAGAACCUUACCUGGACUUGACAUAUAGGGUCUAGCUAUAGAGAUAUAGUGUGCAUUAGCGCCCUAUACAGGUGGUGCAUGGCUGUCGUCAGCUCGUGUCGUGAGAUGUUGGGUUAAGUCCCGCAACGAGCGCAACCCCUAUCCUAUGUUGCCAGCAUUUAGUUGGGGACUCAUAGGAGACUGCCGGUGAUAAACCGGAGGAAGGUGGGGACGACGUCAAGUCAUCAUGCCCCUUAUGUCCAGGGCUGCACGCAUGCUACAAUGGCAAGUACAACGAGUCGCAAUACCGCGAGGUGGAGCAAAUCUCUUAAAGCUUGUUUCAGUUCGGAUAGGAGUCUGCAACUCGACUCCUUGAAGUCGGAGUCGCUAGUAAUCGCAAAUCAGCAAAGUUGCGGUGAAUACGUUCUCGGGGUU